RNAcentral lists this ribosomal RNA (637 nucleotides) under Paenibacillus sp. AM53T. RNAcentral's name for it is "bacterial SSU rRNA". It matches the Rfam family "Bacterial small subunit ribosomal RNA", at positions 33 to 650 of the family's 1533-position model. Lineage: Bacteria; Bacillati; Bacillota; Bacilli; Caryophanales; Paenibacillaceae. The record is from RNAcentral.
ACGCUGGCGGCGUGCCUAAUACAUGCAAGUCGAGCGGACUUGAUGGAGUGCUUGCACUCCUGAUGGUUAGCGGCGGACGGGUGAGUAACACGUAGGCAACCUGCCCUCAAGACUGGGAUAACUACCGGAAACGGUAGCUAAUACCGGAUAAUUUAUUUCACAGCAUUGUGGAAUAAUGAAAGACGGAGCAAUCUGUCACUUGGGGAUGGGCCUGCGGCGCAUUAGCUAGUUGGUGGGGUAAUGGCUCACCAAGGCGACGAUGCGUAGCCGACCUGAGAGGGUGAACGGCCACACUGGGACUGAGACACGGCCCAGACUCCUACGGGAGGCAGCAGUAGGGAAUCUUCCGCAAUGGGCGAAAGCCUGACGGAGCAACGCCGCGUGAGUGAUGAAGGUUUUCGGAUCGUAAAGCUCUGUUGCCAAGGAAGAACGUCUUCUAGAGUAACUGCUAGGAGAGUGACGGUACUUGAGAAGAAAGCCCCGGCUAACUACGUGCCAGCAGCCGCGGUAAUACGUAGGGGGCAAGCGUUGUCCGGAAUUAUUGGGCGUAAAGCGCGCGCAGGCGGUUCUUUAAGUCUGGUGUUUAAACCCGAGGCUCAACUUCGGGUCGCACUGGAAACUGGGGGACUUGAGUGCA